This is a long non-coding RNA of Wyeomyia smithii (pitcher-plant mosquito), 760 nucleotides long. RefSeq lists it as uncharacterized. Lineage: Eukaryota; Metazoa; Arthropoda; Insecta; Diptera; Culicidae. The record is from RefSeq and is a predicted model, not a curated record. The transcript has 3 exons.
CAAGCAGUGUAAAGUGGCAUGCAGCUGGCUGCCGGUGAAAAUAGUGGUCGAUUUUUUUCUUUGUAAACUUAGAGUCGAGAACCCUUGAGCGGGUCGGGUGUCGAAAAAUUUGAUUGAAUAUAAUUGCGGAUGAUUCGAUUCGGCUCUGCAGCUCAUCGAUCGUUAACAAUGAUAAUCAAAUAUUUAUAUUCAUGAAUUUGGAACAAGUGUUCGGUAAUUGUGUAGAAAGUUAAAUUUUAAUGUGUAACGUUACAUAAACGAUCUUCUUAAGUUGGUUUUCGCAAUUCACUGUAGGAUUCAACAGGGGUGAAAACUGGAUUGGUGCAGCACACAUCUUCCGCUUUGCAGAAAAUUAUCACCUUGUGUUGUUGCAUAACAUUAUGGUAAUCAGAUUUUAGCAGGCUUGAGCGUCGAACUCGUCAACUGGUAAAAGUGCAGUAAACAGAUAUCUGGUAUUUCACCCAAUCACGUGCGAUUUAAUGACUGUUAUCUAAUAGCAAUCAACGGAGACAACAUCGGCAGAUAGUCCGAGCAGCCGGAUGAAAUUGGCAGUUGAUGAGACACUGCGGAUUGGUUGCAAAACCGGUUAGGAAAAACAUUUCAGUUCAUGCAGAAGAAGCCAACUAACGAUGACAACAAGGUCUUUAUCAAAAAAUCAAAAUUAUUGAUUGUCCUAUACAGUUGUUCAUGAAGACAUGCUGGAUGUCGGGUACAGUGUAAUUUGAUGUUUGCUUCGCAAAUUUACCAACAAAUCAAACGG